Molecule: non-coding RNA, 281 nt
Filed under: Acetonema longum
Lineage: Bacteria; Bacillati; Bacillota; Negativicutes; Acetonemataceae
Description: T-box sequence
Rfam family: T-box leader (bases 1-212)
About the family: Uncharged tRNA acts as the effector for transcription antitermination of genes in the T-box leader family. T-boxes are found upstream of many aminoacyl-tRNA synthetase genes and some amino acid biosynthetic genes usually in Gram-positive bacteria.
Source: RNAcentral
AUAAAAGUGAAGACGGAAAAAAGUAGAUGUAUACUUGCUAAACAGAGAGCUGAUGGCUGGUGCGAAUCAGUUGGCGGUAUAGGUCGAAGUUCAUUCCCGAACUGCGAGGCUGAACGACAGUAGGCUGAGCCGGAGUGGCGCUCGUUAAUGUGCUAUGAGUUGAUCUGAUUCGAGAUUAUUAGGGUGGUACCGCGGAGCAUUCCGUCCCCUUGCGGUAGCGCCUUUUUUAUUUUCGACGGAUAACUAGGGUGGUACCGCGAUGCACGUCCGUCGUCCCUUUU